GAGAAUAUUGUAUAUGAUCAGCUAUAUGAAAUGUAUCUCUUUAUCUUAUUAUUAAGGACAUGUCUAAGUGACUUUUCACCUAGUAACUUGUGUGCAGCUACUAACCGCUUCCUGUCUUCAGAGAACAGAGAAGUGAAGACUCAGCUCUAUUAGAAGAACAUGCAAAUGUAGUGAAGGGGAAAAACCCGCGGCUCUAAAUGACGUUGUUACCUUUGUACACACACAUACACACACACACACACUCACACAGAAAAGUAUAAAUAAAGGACGCGGACAGUCAAUAGACGCAGAUCCUGUGUACGUGACUGCCCCUCGCAAGGAAAAACUUCUGCAGUGUUUGUGUGUUUUCUAAACUCAGGAGUCUUGGCUAAAGAAAGAACGGCAGGGUGAUUUAAAGAAAUCCCCUGUCAUUUAAAUUGGUCCUUCGAACCUAGAGAUGGAAACAGCAGACUCGUUUCUGUGACUCCAAUAAGGUCUGACUUCUGCAUCCUGACGCCGUGGGUAAACCAGCACCGAAGUCUGUCGACAGCCCUCUCCAGGUAGAGGUGAAAGACCUGGGACGUAAGACAAAUUCGGGUCCAGGCCGGUGUAAUAGUACUGGUCCACGACGUUGGGAUCCAGAUGACCUGAACAACCAGCAAAAGACGACUGAGGGUGAGAAAACACUUUUUGGUUUUAAACCGCCGGAAGGGUUUAGAAGAGAAGCGCAUAGGUCUUAUCCGCCGCAAGGAUUAAUAGCGCAUUAGGCUGACCCACUGCACGGGUGCACAAAAGAGAAGCGCAUAGGUCUUAUCCGCCGCAAGGAUUAAUAGCGCAUUAGGCUGACCCACUGCACGGGUGCACAAAAGAGAAGCGCAUAGGUCUUAUCCGCCGCAAGGAUUAAUAGCGCAUUAGGCUGACCCACUGCACGGGUGCACAAAAGAAAAGCGCAUAGGUCUAACCCGCCGCAAGGGUCUAAAUAGGUCUAACCCGCCGCAAGGGUCUGAAGAAAAAACACGUGAAAUAGGUUGAGUUCGCCGGAAGGAACUAAAUUUAGGCUGGUUUUAGAGGUAGCCGGAAUUACCUCGUAAUAAAUUAUAUUUAGACUGGUUUCAGAAGUAGCCGGAAUUACUUCGUGACAAAUUAGCGCGCAAAUGUCUAUUUGUGUGUAUGUAUAUGUGUGUAUGUGUUUGGAAGUAAGUUGAUUUUACAGCACAAUAAGCUGCUGAACUACUUCCAUUGUUUGUUUUUAUUGUUUUCUUUGUGUAUCCUGCAAAAGCUCAAGUACUGGUGAUAAAGGGGAAAGGUAGAAGGGCGUGUCAGCAACCACCCCCGAGUUUAGUACCAGAGAAAGCUUUGCAGUUCUGUGAUAAUGGGGAAUCAGCCCACAAAACUCACUGUUGACGAACAGUGGUUAGAGA
Molecule: long non-coding RNA, 1400 nt
Organism: Oreochromis niloticus (Nile tilapia)
Lineage: Eukaryota; Metazoa; Chordata; Actinopteri; Cichliformes; Cichlidae
Exons: 2
Source: RefSeq, a predicted model, not a curated record